UACGAAGGGUGCGAGCGUUGUUCGGAAUUACUGGGCGUAAAGGGUUUGUAGGCUGAAAUGUAAGUCAAGUGUGAAAUCCCCGAGCUAAACUUGGGACGUGCAUUUGAAACUGUGUUUCUUGAGUAUCGUAGAGGGUGGUGGAAUUGUAGGUGUAGGAGUGACAUCCGUAGAGAUCUGCAGGAACAUCAGAGGCGAAGGCGACCACCUGGCCGAUUACUGACGC
This 223-nucleotide ribosomal RNA is filed under the name uncultured bacterium. Its description in RNAcentral is "partial 16S ribosomal RNA". It matches the Rfam family "Bacterial small subunit ribosomal RNA", at positions 524 to 746 of the family's 1533-position model. The record is from RNAcentral.